AACGUAGGAGACAAACGUUAUCCGGAGUUACUGGGCGUAAAGGGCGUGCAGGUGGUCUGUUAAGUCUGGCGUGAAAGCUCUCGGCUAAACCGGGAGAGGUCGUUGGAUACUGGCGGACUAGAGGACGGUAGAGGCGUGUGGAAUUCCGGGUGUAGUGGUGAAAUGCGUAGAGAUCCGGAGGAACACCAGUGGCGAAGGCGGCCUGCUGGGCAGUAGCUGACGCUGAAGCGCGACAGCGUGGGGAGCAAACAGG
This 253-nucleotide ribosomal RNA is filed under the name uncultured bacterium. RNAcentral's name for it is "partial 16S ribosomal RNA". It matches the Rfam family "Bacterial small subunit ribosomal RNA", at positions 524 to 776 of the family's 1533-position model. The record is from RNAcentral.